CUUACUUAACAAUUCAUCGUGAUAAAAUAUUCAUACUGAAUCAAUAAUCAUGUUAUGUAUGUUAUCAAAAAUCUUCAUGUAAAUAUACACUGUAAGGCCGUACACCGGCAUGCCGUGGUUUACACCCUCCGAUGCUACGGCGGAGUCAUUAUCGGCCACUGGCGGGGCGAGCUCAGUUAUUGUACGGCCACUGGCGGGGCGAGCUCAGUUACUUUCAGCCCGUAGCAUUUAAGAGUUCAUACAUAGUACUUCUUGCAAGUGGUAUACUUAGCUAGAGGCAAUUCAUCAUCUUAUUUUAUACUUAUACCAUAAUUACUAUAUUAAGUGCAAUUAUGGUAACGAAAUCCCAAUCAUCUUAUAUGCAUAAUAUCUUAAAAUCUGUAUAAGCAUGAUGUAUGCAUAACCAUAAAUUCUAUGACUAAAACAUACCACUUGUAUACAUGAUCCAUGAUGAUUAGAAUAGAUUGCUUUCAUUUUACGCAAUUUAAAUUACAUGAAUAACACUCAUUCUUUUUCAUAACUUAUGAUGCAUGAUCUACAAUAAGAUUAAGACGGGUUACUUACACUUAUAAUUUAGGU
Molecule: long non-coding RNA, 579 nt
Filed under: Phoenix dactylifera (date palm)
Lineage: Eukaryota; Viridiplantae; Streptophyta; Magnoliopsida; Arecales; Arecaceae
Description: long non-coding RNA (PDAC_LNC014493)
Source: RNAcentral